This 482-nucleotide ribosomal RNA is filed under the name uncultured bacterium. RNAcentral describes it as "partial 16S ribosomal RNA". It matches the Rfam family "Bacterial small subunit ribosomal RNA", at positions 30 to 507 of the family's 1533-position model. The record is from RNAcentral.
AUUGAACGCUGGCGGCAUGCUUUACACAUGCAAGUCGAACGGUAACAGGCCGCAAGGUGCUGACGAGUGGCGGACGGGGGAGUAAUGCAUCGGAACGUGCCCAGUCGUGGGGGAUAACUACUCGAAAGAGUAGCUAAUACCGCAUACGAUCUAUGGAUGAAAGCGGGGGACCGUAAGGCCUCGCGCGAUUGGAGCGGCCGAUGUCAGAUUAGGUAGUUGGUGGGGUAAAGGCUCACCAAGGCAACGAUCUGUAGCUGGUCUGAGAGGACGACCAGCCACACUGGGACUGAGACACGGCCCAGACUCCUACGGGAGGCAGCAGAGGGGAAUUUUGGACAAUGGGCGCAAGCCUGAUCCAGCAAUGCCGCGUGCAGGAAGAAGGCCUUCGGGUUGUAAACUGCUUUUGUACGGAACGAAACGGCUCUGGUUAAUACCCGGGGCUAAUGACGGUACCGUAAGAAUAAGCACCGGCUAACUACGUG